GUGGGGAAUUUUGGACAAUGGGCGCAAGCCUGAUCCAGCCAUUCCGCGUGCAGGAUGAAGGCCUUCGGGUUGUAAACUGCUUUUGUACGGAACGAAAAGCCUCUGGUUAAUACCCGGGGGUCAUGACGGUACCGUAAGAAUAAGCACCGGCUAACUACGUGCCAGCAGCCGCGGUAAUACGUAGGGUGCGAGCGUUAAUCGGAAUUACUGGGCGUAAAGCGUGCGCAGCCGGUGAUGUAAGACAGUUGUGAAAUCCCCGGGCUCAACCUGGGAACUGCAUCUGGGACUGCAUUGCUGGAGUGCGGCAGAGGGGGAUGGAAUUCCGCGUGUAGCAGUGAAAUGCGUAGAUAUGCGGAGGAACACCGAUGGCGAAGGCAAUCCCCUGGGCCUGCACUGACGCUCAUGCACGAAAGCGUGGGGAGCAAACAGGAUUAGAAACCCGUGUAGUCC
Molecule: ribosomal RNA, 450 nt
Filed under: uncultured bacterium
Lineage: Bacteria
Description: partial 16S ribosomal RNA
Rfam family: Bacterial small subunit ribosomal RNA
Source: RNAcentral